CCUACGGGUGGCAGCAGUGGGGAAUAUUGGACAAUGGGCGAAAGCCUGAUCCACCCAUGCCGCGUGUGUGAAGAAGGCCUUCGGGUUGUAAAGCACUUUCAGUGGGGAAGAAAGCCUUGGGGCUAAUACCCUCGAGGAAGGACAUCACCCACAGAAGAAGCACCGGCUAACUCCGUGCCAGCAGCCGCGGUAAUACGGAGGGUGCGAGCGUUAAUCGGAAUUACUGGGCGUAAAGCGCGCGUAGGCGGUCUGAUAAGCCGGUUGUGAAAGCCCCGGGCUCAACCUGGGAACGGCAUCCGGAACUGUCAGGCUAGAGUGCAGGAGAGGAAGGUAGAAUUCCCGGUGUAGCGGUGAAAUGCGUAGAGAUCGGGAGGAAUACCAGUGGCGAAGGCGGUCUUCUGGACUGACACUGACGCUGAGGUGCGAAAGCGUGGGUAGCAAACAGGAUUAGAUACCCUAGUAGUC
Molecule: ribosomal RNA, 465 nt
Filed under: Vreelandella stevensii
Lineage: Bacteria; Pseudomonadati; Pseudomonadota; Gammaproteobacteria; Oceanospirillales; Halomonadaceae
Description: partial 16S ribosomal RNA
Rfam family: Bacterial small subunit ribosomal RNA
Source: RNAcentral